CCUACGGGAGGCAGCAGUGAGGAAUAUUGGUCAAUGGGCGGAAGCCUGAACCAGCCAAGUAGCGUGCGGGAUGAAUGCCCUACGGGUCGUAAACCGCUUUUGUACGGGGAUAACACCCUCCACUUGUGGCUGUCUGCAUGUACCGUGCGAAUAAGGGCCGGCUAAUUCCGUGCCAGCAGCCGCGGUAAUACGGAGGGCCCGAGCGUUAUCCGGAUUCAUUGGGUUUAAAGGGAGCGUAGGCGGGAGUUCAAGUCAGCUGUAAAAUGGUGCGGCUCAACCGAGCAUCGCAGUUGAAACUGGAAGUCUUGAGUACAGAACAGGUAGGCGGAAUUCGUGGGGUAGCGGUGAAAUGCAUAGAUAUCACGAGGAACCCCGAUUGCGAAGGCAGCCUGCCGGGGUGCGACUGACGCUGAGGCUCGAAGGUGCGGGUAUCAAACAGGAUUAGAUACCCGGGUAGUC
This 459-nucleotide ribosomal RNA is filed under the name uncultured bacterium. RNAcentral's name for it is "partial 16S ribosomal RNA". It matches the Rfam family "Bacterial small subunit ribosomal RNA", at positions 338 to 795 of the family's 1533-position model. The record is from RNAcentral.